RNAcentral lists this ribosomal RNA (465 nucleotides) under uncultured bacterium. RNAcentral's name for it is "partial 16S ribosomal RNA". It matches the Rfam family "Bacterial small subunit ribosomal RNA", at positions 338 to 795 of the family's 1533-position model. The record is from RNAcentral.
CCUACGGGAGGCAGCAGUGGGGAAUUUUGCGCAAUGCUCGUAAGAGUGACGCAGCGACGCCGCGUGAAUGACGAAGGCCUUCGGGUCGUAAAGUUCUUUCGACAGGGAAGAAAAUGCCUAUAAGUAACUGUGUAUGUAUUGACGGUACCUGUAUAAGCAGCCCCGGCUAACUCCGUGCCAGCAGCCGCGGUAAUACGGAGGGGGCGAGCGUUGUUCGGAGUGACUGGGCGUAAAGAGCACGUAGGCGGUGUUGUAAGUCAUUAGUCAAAGACUAGAGCUCAACUUUAGUAAGGCUAGUGAUACUAUAAUACGAGAGUAUCAGAGAGGAUGGCAGAAUUCCUGGUGUAGCGGUGAAAUGCGGAGAUAUCAGGAGGAAUACCGUUAGCGAAGGCGGAAAUCUGGCUGGAAACUGACGCUGAGGUGCGAAAGCGUGGGUAGAAAACAGGAUUAGAUACCCUUGUAGUC